Molecule: long non-coding RNA, 484 nt
Filed under: Lotus japonicus
Lineage: Eukaryota; Viridiplantae; Streptophyta; Magnoliopsida; Fabales; Fabaceae
Description: long non-coding RNA (LJAP_LNC000416)
Source: RNAcentral
UUGUACGCCACCGUUUCACCAUUCCAGAUGUUCCAUUCUAAACACCCAGAUUAGGACAGAGAAUGGUACAGUUACACUUCUUCACCCGCUCCACUUCCCUGUACAAUAUUUUAACAUUUAAAAUUCCUCCAAUGUUUUGACCCAAAUCCCUGUUCUUCAUUUCAUUUCAUUUCAUUUCAUACCUCAACAACACUUCAAAAUCAAAAUCUUCUGUUGAAUUUCAAUAUCAAUCAUUAAUAGCUUUUUGGCAAGUGGGGUCAAUACCAAAGACUCAUCAGUUUUUUAAUACAUUACAUUUUUGGGUUCUCUUUUCAACACGCAUAUUCCGCGUUAACAGAUUCAGAUUUUGAUUUGGAUUAAUGGGUCUCUAUAAAGUUUGUAACUUCGUUGAAGAGACUAGUGAUUUCAGUUAACAGGGUGUUUCAACAGUUUCAGUUUCAAAGAGAUGGAUAUAACAGAAAUUUCUAUCUUACAUCAUGUNNNN